Dasypus novemcinctus (nine-banded armadillo) is the source of this 93-nucleotide small nucleolar RNA. Its record names the gene SNORD14. It matches the Rfam family "Small nucleolar RNA SNORD14". From Rfam's summary of the family: U14 small nucleolar RNA (U14 snoRNA) is required for early cleavages of eukaryotic precursor rRNAs. In yeasts, this molecule possess a stem-loop region (known as the Y-domain) which is essential for function. A similar structure, but with a different consensus sequence, is found in plants, but is absent in vertebrates. The record is from Ensembl. Lineage: Eukaryota; Metazoa; Chordata; Mammalia; Cingulata; Dasypodidae.
CUGCUGUGAUGAUGGAUUCCAAAACCAUUCGUAGUUUCCACUAGAAGUCUUAAGACGCGUGUUGGCUAAUUCCUUCCUUGGAUGUCUGAGCGA